This 750-nucleotide ribosomal RNA is filed under the name Diversispora eburnea. RNAcentral's name for it is "SSU rRNA". It matches the Rfam family "Eukaryotic small subunit ribosomal RNA", at positions 357 to 1118 of the family's 1831-position model. Lineage: Eukaryota; Fungi; Glomeromycota; Glomeromycetes; Diversisporales; Diversisporaceae. The record is from RNAcentral.
ACGGGUACGGGGAUUAGGGUUCGAUUCCGGAGAGGGAGCCUGAGAAACGGCUACCACAUCCAGGAAGGCAGCAGGCGCGCAAAUUACCCAAUCCCGACACGGGGAGGUAGUGACAAUAAAUAACAAUACGGGGCUCAUUUGGGUCUCGUAAUUGGAAUGAGUACAAUUUAAAUCUCUUAACGAGGAACAAUUGGAGGGCAAGUCUGGUGCCAGCAGCCGCGGUAAUUCCAGCUCCAAUAGCGUAUAUUAAAGUUGUUGCAGUUAAAAAGCUCGUAGUUGAACUUCGGGGUCUACCCAUUGGUCAGGCUUAAUUGUCUGYACUGGUGAGAUGGAUCUCUACCUUCUGAGGAACUUUCAUGCCAUUUAUUUGGUGUGGUUGGAAAUCAGGACUGUUACUUUGAAAAAAUUAGAGUGUUUAAAGCAGACUAUCGUCUGAAUACAUUAGCAUGGAAUAAUGAAAUAGGACGGACUGAUUCUAUUUCGUUGGUUUCUAGGAUCACCGUAAUGAUUAAUAGGGAUAGUUGGGGGCAUUAGUAUUCAAUUGUCAGAGGUGAAAUUCUUGGAUUUAUUGAAGACUAACUACUGCGAAAGCAUUUGCCAAGGAUGUUUUCAUUAAUCAAGAACGAAAGUUAGGGGAUCGAAGACGAUCAGAUACCGUCGUAGUCUUAACCAUAAACUAUGCCGACUAGGGAUCGGACGAAGUUAAUUUUAUAAUGACGCGUUCGGCACCUUACGGGAAACCAAGGUUUU